Long non-coding RNA from Acanthopagrus latus (yellowfin seabream), 773 nucleotides. RefSeq lists it as uncharacterized. The transcript has 3 exons. NCBI's taxonomy places the organism in Eukaryota, Metazoa, Chordata, Actinopteri, Spariformes, Sparidae. The record is from RefSeq and is a predicted model, not a curated record.
AUUACACGCUGUUAUUUCAAUAUGCUAUGUCAUGAUUGGCAUGAUACACAGUGGAAACACAUGGAAGUACAAUAUAGUUCUUCAAGAAAAUGAAGAUAGAAUCUAAAUACACAGGACAAGAUGUUAAGAAGUCCCUUGUCCAAAGAGGCGUUGAGCAUUUCCAUGGCAUUCGUUUAGAUGUUGAGCCAGUGGUAUGAUGGUAGACGACGCGACAAAUCUUCUGCAUCCCACUUUAGCUGAAUAGACUUUUGUGUUCCAGCUACAUUAUGUUGCUUCUACUGCAAGGAAUUCUCCUGUGGAACUGUGAGCUCUUUGAUGUACACAAUCUUCAGUGAAGUGGACCAGAACACCAACGCUGGCCUGAGGUUGGUGGAGGCAAUCUCAGGUGGAAAAAUUAGUUUUUGGCCGAUGUCAGCCAGCAUCCUCCAGUCACAGGUCAUGCAUUGGUGUCCUUCAUCUGAUCUGGUGGAAUGAUGUUUAGGUGUUUUCUGUCCUUCCCGGACAGAGGUUGCUCGUCGGGGGUGGUUAGGCGUUUGCUCUACACUUACACUCAUUAUUAAGAUGAUGUAACAUUUUGGAGUAAAAAUACAAAUGAGCAGUCCAAAACUUGAAGCCAGAAUAGCAAAUAUCUCCACAGCAACACUGAACUUCCCAGGAGAGCUGACAUAUGCUGGGAUAAAAGUGAUCCAUACUGCACAGAAUAUCAGCAUGCUAAAGAACACAAGAGAUACAGAGGACAAAGGUGAUGCCGAAUGCUGUGUGUCGCAGCAUGC